RNAcentral lists this ribosomal RNA (252 nucleotides) under uncultured bacterium. Its description in RNAcentral is "partial 16S ribosomal RNA". It matches the Rfam family "Bacterial small subunit ribosomal RNA", at positions 524 to 776 of the family's 1533-position model. The record is from RNAcentral.
UACGUAGGGUGCAAGCGUUAUCCGGAAUUAUUGGGCGUAAAGAGCUCGUAGGCGGUUUGUCGCGUCUGCUGUGAAAACUGGAGGCUCAACCUCCAGCCUGCAGUGGGUACGGGCAGACUAGAGUGCGGUAGGGGAGAUUGGAAUUCCUGGUGUAGCGGUGGAAUGCGCAGAUAUCAGGAGGAACACCAAUGGCGAAGGCAGAUCUCUGGCCGUAACUGACGCUGAGGAGCGAAAGCAUGGGGAGCGAACAGG